RNAcentral lists this ribosomal RNA (295 nucleotides) under uncultured rumen bacterium. RNAcentral's name for it is "partial 16S ribosomal RNA". It matches the Rfam family "Bacterial small subunit ribosomal RNA", at positions 149 to 444 of the family's 1533-position model. The record is from RNAcentral.
UCUGGAAACGGAUGGUAAUACCCUGUAACAUAAUCGAACCGCAUGAUUUGAUUAUCAAAGAUUUAUCGCUCAGAGAUGGGCUCGCGUCUGAUUAGAUAGUUGGUGAGGUAACGGCUCACCAAGUCGACGAUCAGUAGCCGGACUGAGAGGUUGAACGGCCACAUUGGGACUGAGACACGGCCCAGACUCCUACGGGAGGCAGCAGUGGGGAAUAUUGCACAAUGGGGGAAACCCUGAUGCAGCGAAGCCGCGUGGAGGAAGAAGGUUUUCGGAUUGUAAACUCCUGUCUUAAAGG